UUCAAGGCAGUUGAUUUUGACAGAAUUGGGAAAAUUAUGCAUGUGCAGUUUUUGCAUCCUUUCCAGACCAUCUUAACAAGAUGCCCAAUAAACCCUGGUAAAUUAGGACAUCUACACAAGCUGGUGAGGCAAGUGAUAAUCCUGUAACUGUGUCUGCAUCUCCUGAACUGCUGAACUCAUCAACCUCGGAUCUGGAUCAUUAACACAAUGCUGAAUUCAGACUUAAAGCUCUGAAGUGUUAAAAUCCUGUAUUCAUCUGCCAGAAUCAGCUAUCCAGUUUGUGAGAUACAGCGGUGCGAUAACUGGUUGCCAAACUCCUCUGUUAGCUCCCAGCCAAAUGGGCCGAGUGUGCUGGCAGCCUCACUGCAGACAGAUAAUAUUCUUAUUAUGUACACAUUCCCACUGCGGAAUGAUUAGAUAAAUGUGAGUGCAUGUGUGCUGUUAUUGUUGCAUUAAUUAUUCAUUGGCUAUUACUUCUCUGUGAAUAUCCGUUUUAUCCCUCAGGAUCUCGUAUUUUUUCUCGCAUGUAUGUCCACUGAAUGGCAAGUAACUGCAAGCACACAGUGAGUCAUCACUGCCUGCAAAGCCACACAAGUCGAUGCCUGCCGACUUCUAGCGACCAAUUACUCACUAGGUCGUCGCUGUGUCACAGGGCGACUGAGUUGUCAGCAGUGCCACUGAGCAGGCUGUGCUUUGGUCUGUGGCUGGGAUUGGAUGGAAGGGUGAGGGUUGAGAGGCCCUUUCCAUUGUGUCGGGCUGACAGACCACUGGACAGCUUGGCGGCCAGGCGGUGCACAUCAGCACUCCAGCCCCAGUUCCACAGAAGCGGCAGGUCACUUCCAGGACCUUGAGAAAAUAAGCGAGUCAGACUCCAUUUGUUUUCCGUCUCUGUUCCCUGGGGAAUCAAAGAGGAAGACAUUUCCAGCCGUCCCGCCUGACUGGGUCCGACUCACUUAAGAGGUCCGUUUUCGCCUUGCUCCCUCCAAGCUUUCUUCACACAUCUAGCAGACAUAGCAUGAGGGACAGUUGUGGCUCAGCUUGGCAAGAAUAGCAGGACGAGCGGGGAGUGGAAGAGGCACCACUUGCUGGCAGGGAGGCAGCUAAGAGGACAAACAACACUGUGGAGAAAUGAGAGGGAGCAUUAUAAAGGCCAAAGACCCAGAAUAGACCUUUAUCUUUUUCAGGAGGAAAGCAAAUAUGCUGUAUGAGUGUGUUUGGGAUGUGUUUACAUGUGCACAUUUAUUGAUAUUUUCUCUUUAACUGGUUAUUGGAAAGUCUCUCAAACAACAGGUUACCCAUCGUUAUUUCUUGUACAUUUCCACUGGUGAAAAGUGAAUAAAAUGUAAUUUUUCCUCUUGGGGAUGGAGCCAAAGUGGAGAAGCAAUUCAGCAAACGUCUGGUGAAAAAUGGCACUUCUGCAAUGAUUAAGGGUAUGCAUUUCUAGAAAACCAAAGGCAGGAAGAGUCACGGCAAAGAAAGAGAUAGUGUGAGAUAACAACUUGAGAGUCGUUAGUAAGACAGGUGUGGAGGUAAAAAUGUGGUUUCUGUCACCUUUUGCUACACUUCAACACACAGAGCGACAGGACAAAUCAGCGAGAGCGGGGCAGCUUUGCAAUUUUAAGGCUCUUUACAAAAUGAGAUGUCCAUCAUUGUACAAAUACUGUAUGAUACCUGCUCUCCAAGAAUGACUCUUGACAUGUAAGUCAAGUUUUUUUGUUUUUUU
This is a long non-coding RNA of Thunnus maccoyii (southern bluefin tuna), 1723 nucleotides long. RefSeq lists it as uncharacterized. The record is from RefSeq and is a predicted model, not a curated record. Lineage: Eukaryota; Metazoa; Chordata; Actinopteri; Scombriformes; Scombridae. The transcript is spliced from 3 exons.